GGUGAGUGGAGCGGCGGACGGGUGAGUAACGCGUAGGAAUCUGCCUGGUAGUGGGGGACAACCUGUGGAAACGCAGGCUAAUACCGCAUACGCCCUGAGGGGGAAAGCGGGGGAUCUUCGGACCUCGCGCUAUCAGAUGAGCCUGCGUUAGAUUAGCUAGUUGGUGGGGUAAUGGCCUACCAAGGCGACGAUCUAUAGCUGGUCUGAGAGGAUGAUCAGCCACACUGGGACUGAGACACGGCCCAGACUCCUACGGGAGGCAGCAGUGGGGAAUAUUGCGCAAUGGGGGAAACCCUGACGCAGCCAUACCGCGUGUGUGAAGAAGGCCUUAGGGUUGUAAAGCACUUUCAAUUGGGAGGAAAGGUCCAGGGUGAAUACCCCUGGGCUGUGACGUUACCUUUAGAAGAAGCACCGGCUAACUCCGUGCCAGCAGCCGCGGUAAUACGGAGGGUGCAAGCGUUAAUCGGAAUUACUGGGCGUAAAGCGCGCGUAGGCGGUUUGUUAAGUCGGAUGUGAAAGCCCCGGGCUCAACCUGGGAACUGCAUCCGAUACUGGCCGACUUGAGUACGAGAGAGGGAGGUAGAAUUCCAUGUGUAGCGGUGAAAUGCGUAGAUAUAUGGAGGAAUACCAGUGGCGAAGGCGGCCUCCUGGCUCGAUACUGACGCUGAGGUGCGAAAGCGUGGGGAG
RNAcentral lists this ribosomal RNA (687 nucleotides) under uncultured bacterium. Its description in RNAcentral is "bacterial SSU rRNA". It matches the Rfam family "Bacterial small subunit ribosomal RNA", at positions 85 to 768 of the family's 1533-position model. The record is from RNAcentral.